UGGGUCACCCUGUGGCUUACCCCGGGCUCUGGCCCGCAGAUGCUCCCCCGGGGCCAGCUCAGAGCCCUAGCCAAGGGUCGUGGGGGCUGCGGGAGCUAGUACGCAGAGCUGGGGCACCCACAGCAGCAAGGACGAGGCUCCACCUGGUCUGAAAGAUCCAAGAGGCAUCUGCAGUCUGUCCAGGGAAAGUGAUGGGAGAUGAGGAAUUAAAACCUGGAGCACAGCAGAAGAGGCUCUGAGCCCAAGCCAUGUGUCCAGCCCUUUGACUCUGGAGUUGCAGAUUCAGCCACCAAGAGCAGCGGUGGACCCUGGAGGCCUGAGGACCCAGACUUCUCCGCCAUGGAGGAUGAGCAGGCAGGUGUCCGACUGCCGAGAUGGGCAGGAGUUGACU
Molecule: long non-coding RNA, 391 nt
Organism: Capra hircus (goat)
Lineage: Eukaryota; Metazoa; Chordata; Mammalia; Artiodactyla; Bovidae
Exons: 3
Source: RefSeq, a predicted model, not a curated record